UGGAUCCAGACUUUGAUCAUGGCUCAGGACGAACGCUGGCGGCGCGCCUAACACAUGCAAGUCGAACGGAGAUUACAGGCGGAAGUUUUCGGAUGGAAGCUUGUAAACUUAGUGGCGGACGGGUGAGUAACACGUGAGCAACCUGCCUAUCAGAGGGGGAUAACGAUUGGAAACGAUCGCUAAUACCGCAUGACAUAGCGGAACCGCAUGGUUCUGUUAUCAAAGAUUUUAUCGCUGAUAGAUGGGCUCGCGUCCGAUUAGAUAGUUGGUGGGGUAACGGCCUACCAAGUCGACGAUCGGUAGCCGGACUGAGAGGUCGAACGGCCACAUUGGGACUGAGACACGGCCCAGACUCCUACGGGAGGCAGCAGUGGGGGAUGUUGCACAAUGGGGGAAACCCUGAUGCAGCGACGCCGCGUGAGGGAAGACGGUCCUCUGGAUUGUAAACCUCUGUCUUCGGGGACGAAACGAGACGGUACCCGAGGAGGAAGCCACGGCUAACUACGUGCCAGCAGCCGCGGUAAUACGUAGGUGGCAAGCGUUGUCCAGAAUUACUGGGUGUAAAGGGAGCGUAGGCGGGCAGGCAAGUCAGGCGUGAAAUAUAUCGGCUCAACCGGUAACGGCGCUUGAAACUGCAGGUCUUGAGUGAAGUAGAGGUUGGCGGAAUUCCUAGUGUAGCGGUGAAAUGCGUAGAUAUUAGGAGGAACACCAGUGGCGUAGGCGGCCAACUGGGCUUUUACUGACGCUGAGGCUCGAAAGUGUGGGGAGCAAACAGGAUUAGAUACCCUGGUAGUCCACACCGUAAACGAUGAUUACUAGGUGUGGGGGGACUGACCCCUUCCGUGCCGGAGUUAACACAAUAAGUAAUCCACCUGGGGAGUACGGCCGCAAGGUUGCAACUCAAAUGAAUUGACGGA
This 917-nucleotide ribosomal RNA is filed under the name uncultured Bacillota bacterium. Its description in RNAcentral is "bacterial SSU rRNA". It matches the Rfam family "Bacterial small subunit ribosomal RNA", at positions 1 to 917 of the family's 1533-position model. Lineage: Bacteria; Bacillati; Bacillota. The record is from RNAcentral.